RNAcentral lists this ribosomal RNA (458 nucleotides) under uncultured organism. Its description in RNAcentral is "partial 16S ribosomal RNA". It matches the Rfam family "Bacterial small subunit ribosomal RNA", at positions 329 to 796 of the family's 1533-position model. The record is from RNAcentral.
ACGUACACUCCUGCGGGAGGCAGCAGUGGGGAAUAUUGCACAAUGGGCGCAAGCCUGAUGCAGCGACGCCGCGUGGGGGAUGAAGGCCUUCGGGUUGUAAACUCCUUUCGCUAGGGACGAAGCUUUUUUGUGACGGUACCUAGAUAAGAAGCACCGGCCAACUACGUGCCAGCAGCCGCGGUAAUACGUAGGGUGCGAGCGUUGUCCGGAAUUACUGGGCGUAAAGGGCUCGUAGGUGGUUUGUCGCGUCGUCUGUGAAAUUCUGGGGCUUAACUCCGGGCGUGCAGGCGAUACGGGCAUAACUUGAGUGCGGUAGGGGUAACUGGAAUUCUUGGUGUAGCGGUGAAAGGCGCAGAUAUCAGGAGGAACACCGAUGGCGAAGGCAGGUUACUGGGCAGUUACUGACGCUGAGGAGCGAAAGCAUGGGUAGCGAACAGGAUUAGAAACCCCGGUAGUCC